This 118-nucleotide non-coding RNA is filed under the name unclassified sequences. The record is from Rfam.
UACACCACUGAGCGCUGAAACGCGCCUUACUCGCCAUUACUGGAAAGAUGAGUGGAAAUAAAUCGAAACAGGGCGGGAAUGUUGAGCGGUCGUACUUGCUUUCCCGUAUGAGAUAGAA